AACGAACGCUGGCGGCAUGCCUAACACAUGCAAGUCGAACGAGAUCUUCGGGUCUAGUGGCGCACGGGUGCGUAACGCGUGGGAAUCUGCCCUUUGGUUCGGAAUAACAGUUGGAAACGACUGCUAAUACCGGAUGAUGACGAAAGUCCAAAGAUUUAUCGCCAGAGGAUGAGCCCGCGUAGGAUUAGCUAGUUGGUGUGGUAAAGGCGCACCAAGGCGACGAUCCUUAGCUGGUCGGAGAGGAUGAUCAGCCACACUGGGACUGAGACACGGCCCAGACCCCUACGGGAGGCAGCAGUGGGGAAUAUUGGACAAUGGGCGAAAGCCUGAUCCAGCAAUGCCGCGUGAGUGAUGAAGGCCCUAGGGUUGUAAAGCUCUUUUACCCGGGAUGAUAAUGACAGUACCGGGAGAAUAAGCCCCGGCUAACUCCUUGCCAGCCGCCGCCGUAA
Molecule: ribosomal RNA, 449 nt
Filed under: uncultured bacterium
Lineage: Bacteria
Description: partial 16S ribosomal RNA
Rfam family: Bacterial small subunit ribosomal RNA
Source: RNAcentral